UUGACAAGUGAAGUAAAAGCAACCUGUACAAGUUCAGCAAGUGAUGUUCCAAAAUGGAUUUUUGAUUACUCUCUUCCAACAUCUUGCGAAAAAAUAGUGUGUCCACACCCUGGAACUCUGGUUGUUUCUGAUGGUAUUGCUACUUUAGUCUCUAAUGAUACAACAGUGUACUAUAGAGAUCAUGUUAGUUGGAAAUGCUCAGACAGGAGAUUCUAUCUCAAAAAACA
Long non-coding RNA from Eurytemora carolleeae, 227 nucleotides. RefSeq lists it as uncharacterized. NCBI's taxonomy places the organism in Eukaryota, Metazoa, Arthropoda, Copepoda, Calanoida, Temoridae. The record is from RefSeq and is a predicted model, not a curated record. The transcript has 3 exons.